RNAcentral lists this ribosomal RNA (477 nucleotides) under uncultured bacterium. RNAcentral describes it as "bacterial SSU rRNA". It matches the Rfam family "Bacterial small subunit ribosomal RNA", at positions 29 to 526 of the family's 1533-position model. The record is from RNAcentral.
AACGAACGCUGGCGGCAGGCCUAACACAUGCAAGUCGAGCGAGAACUUCGGUUCUAGCGGCGGACGGGUUAGUAACGCGUGGGAAUAUGCCCUUCACUACGGAAUAGUCCCGGGAAACUGGGUUUAAUACCGUAUACGCCCUUCGGGGGAAAGAUUUAUCGGUGAAGGAUUAGCCCGCGUUGGAUUAGGUAGUUGGUGGGGUAAUGGCCUACCAAGCCGACGAUCCAUAGCUGGUUUGAGAGGAUGAUCAGCAACACUGGGACUGAGACACGGCCCAGACUCCUACGGGAGGCAGCAGUGGGGAAUCUUAGACAAUGGGGGCAACCCUGAUCUAGCCAUGCCGCGUGAGUGAAGAAGGCCUUCGGGUUGUAAAGCUCUUUCAGCCGGGAAGAAAUUGCACAGGCUAAUACUCUGUGUAGAUGACGGUACCGGACCAAGAAGCACCGGCUAACUACGUGCCAGCCGCCGCCGUAAAAC